UAAAAUCCGUAGAUAUCACCAAGAAUACCCAUUGCGAAGGCGAUCUGCUGGAACUCAACUGACGCUAAGGCGCGAAAGCGUGGGGAGCAAACAGGAUUAGAUACCCUGGUAGUCCACGCCCUAAACGAUGUACACUAGUUGUUGGGGUGCUAGUCAUCUCAGUAAUGCAGCUAACGCAUUAAGUGUACCGCCUGGGGAGUACGGUCGCAAGAUUAAAACUCAAAGGAAUAGACGGGGACCCGCACAAGCGGUGGAGCAUGUGGUUUAAUUCGAAGAUACGCGAAGAACCUUACCUGGGCUUGAUAUCCUAAGAACCUUUUAGAGAUAAGAGGGUGCUAGCUUGCUAGAACUUAGAGACAGGUGCUGCACGGCUGUCGUCAGCUCGUGUCGUGAGAUGUUGGGUUAAGUCCCGCAACGAGCGCAACCCACGUAUUUAGUUGCUAACGGUUCGGCCGAGCACUCUAAAUAGACUGCCUUCGUAAGGAGGAGGAAGGUGUGGACGACGUCAAGUCAUCAUGGCCCUUAUGCCCAGGGCGACACACGUGCUACAAUGGCAUAUACAAUGAGACGCAAUACCGCGAGGUGGAGCAAAUCUAUAAAAUAUGUCCCAGUUCGGAUUGUUCUCUGCAACUCGAGAGCAUGAAGCCGGAAUCGCUAGUAAUCGUAGAUCAGCCAUGCUACGGUGAAUACGUUCCCGGGUCUUGUACUCACCGCCCGUCACACCAUGGGAGUUGAUUUCACUCGAAGCCGGAAUACUAAACUAGUUACCGUCCACAGUGGAAUCAGCGACUGGGGUGAAGUCGUAACAAGGUAACCGUAGGAGAACCUGCGGUUGGAUCACCUCCUUUCUA
This 851-nucleotide ribosomal RNA is filed under the name Campylobacter jejuni. RNAcentral describes it as "bacterial SSU rRNA". It matches the Rfam family "Bacterial small subunit ribosomal RNA", at positions 682 to 1533 of the family's 1533-position model. Lineage: Bacteria; Pseudomonadati; Campylobacterota; Epsilonproteobacteria; Campylobacterales; Campylobacteraceae. The record is from RNAcentral.